GCCGGGUAUGGUGGUGUAUACCUGUAAUCCCAGCUGCUCAGGAGGCUGAGGCAGAAGAUCACAGAUUCAAAGCCAGCCUCAGUAACUUUGUAAGGCCUUGAGCAAUGUAUUGUGACCCUGUCUCAAA
Molecule: small RNA, 127 nt
Filed under: Marmota monax (woodchuck)
Lineage: Eukaryota; Metazoa; Chordata; Mammalia; Rodentia; Sciuridae
Source: RNAcentral